This 253-nucleotide ribosomal RNA is filed under the name uncultured bacterium. RNAcentral describes it as "partial 16S ribosomal RNA". It matches the Rfam family "Bacterial small subunit ribosomal RNA", at positions 524 to 776 of the family's 1533-position model. The record is from RNAcentral.
UACGUAGGGUCCGAGCGUUGUCCGGAAUUACUGGGCGUAAAGAGCUCGUAGGUGGUUUGUCGCGUUGUCCGUGAAAACUCACAGCUCAACUGUGGGCGUGCGGGCGAUACGGGCAGACUGGAGUACUGCAGGGGAGACUGGAAUUCCUGGUGUAGCGGUGGAAUGCGCAGAUAUCAGGAGGAACACCGGUGGCGAAGGCGGGUCUCUGGGCAGUAACUGGCGCUGAGGAGCGAAAGCGUGGGGAGCGAACAGG